RNAcentral lists this ribosomal RNA (587 nucleotides) under uncultured bacterium. RNAcentral's name for it is "bacterial SSU rRNA". It matches the Rfam family "Bacterial small subunit ribosomal RNA", at positions 336 to 916 of the family's 1533-position model. The record is from RNAcentral.
CUCCUACGGGAGGCAGCAGCGGGGAAUUUUGGACAAUGGGCGAAAGCCUGAUCCAGCAAUGCCGCGUGUGUGAAGAAGGCCUUCGGGUUGUAAAGCACUUUUGUCCGGAAAGAAAUGGCUCUGGUUAAUACCUGGGGUCGAUGACGGUACCGGAAGAAUAAGGACCGGCUAACUACGUGCCAGCAGCCGCGGUAAUACGUAGGGUCCAAGCGUUAAUCGGAAUUACUGGGCGUAAAGCGUGCGCAGGCGGUUGUGCAAGACCGAUGUGAAAUCCCCGAGCCUAACUUGGGAAUUGCAUUGGUGACUGCACGGCUAGAGUGUGUCAGAGGGGGGUAGAAUUCCACGUGUAGCAGUGAAAUGCGUAGAGAUGUGGAGGAAUACCGAUGGCGAAGGCAGCCCCCUGGGAUAACACUGACGCUCAUGCACGAAAGCGUGGGGAGCAAACAGGAUUAGAUACCCUGGUAGUCCACGCCCUAAACGAUGUCAACUAGUCGUUGGGGAUUCAUUUCCUUAGUAACGUAGCUAACGCGUGAAGUUGACCGCCUGGGGAGUACGGUCGCAAGAUUAAAACGCAAAGGAAUUGACGG